This 1446-nucleotide ribosomal RNA is filed under the name uncultured Bordetella sp. Its description in RNAcentral is "partial 16S-23S ribosomal RNA intergenic spacer". It matches the Rfam family "Bacterial small subunit ribosomal RNA". The record is from RNAcentral. Lineage: Bacteria; Pseudomonadati; Pseudomonadota; Betaproteobacteria; Burkholderiales; Alcaligenaceae.
AGUUCGAUUCUGGCUCAGAUUAAACGCUGGCGGGGAUGCUUUACACAUGCAAGUCGAACGGCAGUACUGAUCUCUGGUCUGGUGGCGAGGCGAACGGCAGUAAUGGUCGAACGUGCCUAGUAGCGGGGGAUAACUACGCGAAAGCGUAGCUAAUACCGCAUACGCCCUUCGGGGGAAAGCGGGGGACCUCGGGCCUCGCACUAUUAGGAGCGGCCGAUGACGGGAUUGAAUAGUUGGUGGGGUAACGGCUCACCAAGGCGACGAUCCGUAGCUGGUUUGAGAGACGACCAGCCACACUGGGACUGAGACACGGCCCAGACUCCUACGGGAGGCAGCAGUGGGGAAUUUUGGACAAUGGGGAACCCCGAUCCAGCCAUCCCGCGUGUGCGAUGAAGGCCUUCGGGUUGUAAAGCACUUUUGGCAGGAAAGAAACGGCACGGAUACUCCCGUGCAACUGACGGUACCUGCAGAAUAAGCACCGGCUAACUACGUGCCAGCAGCCAGAAGAAGGUAGGCAAGCGUUAACUGGCACCACGGGCGUAAAAGCGCGCAGGCGGUUCGGCAGAAAGAUGUGAAAUCCCGGUUUUCAACUUUGGAACUGCAUUUUGAAUGAGCUAGAGUGUCAGAGUGAGGUGGAAAUUCCGCGUGUAGCAGUGAAAUGCGUAGAUAUGCGGAGGAACACCGAUGGCGAAGGCAGCCUCCUGGGAUAACACUGACGCUCAUGCACGAAAGCGGGGAGCAAAACAGGACAGAUACCCGGUAGUCCACGCCCUAAACGAUGUCAACUAGCUGUUGGGGCCUCGGGCUUGUAGCGCAGCUAACGCGUGAAGUUGACCGCCUUGGGGAGUACGGUCGCAAGAUUAAACCUCAAAGGAAUUGACGGGGACCCGCACAAGCGGUGGAUGAUGUGGAUUAAUUCGAUGCAACGAAACCUUACCUACCCUUGACAUGUCUGGAAUCCCGAAGAGAUUUGGGAGUGCUCGCAAGAGAACCGGAACACAGGUGCUGCAUGGCCGCUGUCGCUCAGGCCGGAGAUGUUGGGUUAAGUCCCGCAACGAGCGCAACCCUUGUCAUUAGUUGCUACGAAAGGUACCCCAUCGAGACUGCCGGUGACAAACCGGAGGAAGGUGAUGAUUGGCUUCAAGUCCUCAUGCCUUAUGGGUAGGGCUUCACACGUCAUACAAUGGUCGGGACAGUGGUCGCCAACCCGCGAGGAGCCAAUCCCAGAAACCUGAUCGUAGUCCGGAUCGCAGUCUGCAACUCGACUGCGUGAAGUCGGAAUCGCUAGUAAUCGCGGACCAGCAUGUCGCAGAACAUUGUCUCCGGGUCUUGUACACACCGCCUGUCACACCAUGGGAGUGGGUUUUACCAGAAGUAGUUAGCCGAACUGAAGGAGGGCGAUUACCACGGUAGGAUUCAUGACUGGGGUGAAGUCGUAACAAGGUA